AUGCUUGAUAUGGAGGUUGACCUCCAGGCGCUCGGAGAGCUUGUGGGUGCACUCCAGCGGGUCUCGAUGGCCACAUCGUACACCUUGGAGGCCAAGUGCCCAUCAGGUACUCCAUGGCACCUGGCCCAUCCAAGUCGUCUACCCGGUCCUACCCAGCUCCGUGUUCCCUCAUGCCUACAACGGACCUGCUCCCGCUCUACAAAGACUCGGGCACCAGGUGUGGGGAAAUCUUCAUUGGCACGUCUCAUUCUUCAAGGUUCUGCGGUUGCUCGACCGACCCAAACAAUUGGAUGUACAGUUGAUGUAAAACAUAUUACUUACGGAAGCCCAGGGAGUUCAUCUAAUAGCAUCGUCGGUGAUGCUGAAAGGAACUUCUUUGUCGAGCUUUGGGAUGUUUCAGGGCAUGAUCGCUACAGAGAUUGCCGUUCACUUUUUUAUUCACAAAUUAAUGGUGUCAUAUUUGUUUAUGACCUAUCUCAGAGGAAGACAAAGACAAAUUUGAGCAAGUGGGCAGUUGAGGUUGCUGAGUCUGGGACCUUUUCAGCUCCUCUUGGGUCUGGUGGUCCAGGAGGUCUUCCAGUUCCUUACCUAGUGAUUGCUAACAAAGUAGACAUUGCUCCAAGAGAUGGUAGAAGAGUUAGCAGUGGAAAUCUUAUUGAUGUUGCUCGUCAAUGGGUUGACAAGCAAGGCCUACUUCCAUCGAGUGAAGAACUUCCACUUGUGGAUAGCUUCCCUGGCAAUUCUGGUCUGCUCACGGCUGCAAAAGAGGCAAGAUAUGAUAAAGAAGCUGUGGUUAAGUUCUUCCGCAUGUUGAUAAGGAGGAGGUAUUUCUCGAAUGAACUUCCUGCCCCUAGCCCAUGGUCUCUCACUCCCAGAGGGGAUACCAUUCUUCCUGUAGAAACCACGAAUGACGAGGAGUUGUUCAAAAGGAAAAGCUAUGGCGGGCAGAGGUACAAAUACAACGGUGUCGCCCCACUAUCUGCACAGCAGAAUGUAACUCUACCACUCACUCCCUCUCCGCAGCAGCCAAUGUCCUCUUCCGCGGAGAACUACAGAUACCACAGAUUCUCGUCAUCGGCAAUUCCUGACAAAAACAGUAGUAGGACAAGCCGACUAGACAUCAAUUUAUGA
This 1131-nucleotide ribosomal RNA is filed under the name Triticum aestivum (bread wheat). RNAcentral describes it as "partial small subunit ribosomal RNA". The record is from RNAcentral. Lineage: Eukaryota; Viridiplantae; Streptophyta; Magnoliopsida; Poales; Poaceae.